Long non-coding RNA from Eurytemora carolleeae, 679 nucleotides. RefSeq lists it as uncharacterized. The record is from RefSeq and is a predicted model, not a curated record. NCBI's taxonomy places the organism in Eukaryota, Metazoa, Arthropoda, Copepoda, Calanoida, Temoridae. The transcript is spliced from 4 exons.
AUAAUAUUGUAUUAUAUUUGCAGAAUAAGCUGACUGAUCUCCAUGCACUAGUAAACCAAGUUAUGAAGAAUAAACACAAGGAGUCACAUACUGAGGACGGUGUAGAGGCUGUAGAGGCUGCAGAGAUUAGCCCUGCUGAGGAUACUUCAAGGAUAUAUGAAUUACUAACCGAGAUUCAGGCUGAUUCUGAUCAUAUGGUGAGUAACUUGGAGAACUUCAAACCUUGGUUCUUCAGUCCAGAGUCUAAUACAAGCAGAGUAAUAACAGUUUAAUAAUUAUAUUGAUAUAUCCUGCAGUAUGUGUGGAUCAAUCAAUCCAGAAUAAAAUCAACCGUUAUAACGAUCGUUAAAAAACUAUUUGCCACCGUUUUUGUACGAUUUUUUUGUAAAUACGAUCAUUUUUGAAAAACGAUUAAUGAAAACGUUAAUAUCCCUAAGUACACCUACAUUAAAUAAUGUGAACUAAAAGUUAGGCUUUUUAUCAUUUUACAACGUAUAUAGAAAUAUUUUUUAGUUCAUUUUGAUCAUAAUUUGAAUAUGGAAAAAUGUAAUUUCAUCCCACUCUGCAGUUUAUUAAUCCUAGUUAUGUCAGUUCAGAAGUGAUCCAUCUUUUUUCCUUCUGUUUUCCUCUUUAUUUUUCCCUUCUGUUUUUCUCUUUAUUUUUCCCUUCUGUUUUCCUC